RNAcentral lists this transfer RNA (72 nucleotides) under Ovis aries (sheep). It matches the Rfam family "tRNA". Rfam says of the family: Transfer RNA (tRNA) molecules are approximately 80 nucleotides in length. The record is from Rfam by way of RNAcentral. Lineage: Eukaryota; Metazoa; Chordata; Mammalia; Artiodactyla; Bovidae.
UCCCUGGUGGUCUGGUGGCUAAGACUCUGAGUUCCCAAUGCAGAGGCCCAGGUUCGAUCCCUGGUCAGGGAA